RNAcentral lists this ribosomal RNA (1984 nucleotides) under human gut metagenome. RNAcentral's name for it is "bacterial LSU rRNA". It matches the Rfam family "Bacterial large subunit ribosomal RNA", at positions 808 to 2452 of the family's 2925-position model. The record is from RNAcentral.
GGUGUGGGUAGGGGAGAAAUUCCAAUCGAACCCGGAGAUAGCUGGUUCUCCUCGAAAUAGCUUUAGGGCUAGCCUCGUUUUAGUCUUAUGGAGGUAGAGCACUGAAUUUCCGCGGGGGCGUCAAAGCUUACCAAAGAAUAUCAAACUCCGAAUGCCAUGUAGAUGAUGAACGGGAGUCAGACUGCACGAGAUAAGUUGGGCAGUCAAAAGGGAAAGAGCCCAGACCGCCAGCCAAGGUCCCAAAGUGUGUGUUAAGUGGAAAAGGAUGUGGGAUCUCCAAGACAACUAGGAUGUUGGCUCAGAAGCAGCCACACAUUCAAAGAGUGCGUAACAGCUCACUAGUCGAGAGGUCCUGCGCCGAAAAUGUCCGGGGCUGAAACACAACACCGAAGCUGCGGAAUUGCGAAUGCAAUUGGUAGAGGAGCAUUCUUAAUACCGACGAAGCUGUACCGGAAGGAGCAGUGGAGGGAUAAGAAGAGAGAAUGCCGGAAUGAGUAGCGAGAGAGAGGUGGGAAUCCUCUCGGCCGAAUAUCCAAGGUUUCCAGAGUAAAGCUGAUCUGCUCUGGGUAAGUCGGGGCCUAAGGCGAGGUCAAGAGACGUAGCCGAUGGACAACAGGUUUAGAUUCCUGUACCGCAUAUAAACAGAACUGUGGGGACGCAUGGGGAGAGCAUGGGCCGGGAAUGGAAAUACCGGUGCAAGCGAAGGAGGUGUGCAGCCGGCAAAUCCGCUGCAUGAGCCGAAAGCGUGACGCGGAGCGAAAUGAAAGUAGCGAAGCAUGUGAGCCCUGUGCCGAGAAAAGCCGCUAUAGCUUUAUAUGUGCCCGUACCGUAAACCGACACAGGUGGAUGAGGAGAGAAUCCUAAGGCCGGCGGAAGAAGUAUUGUUAAGGAACUCGGCAAAAUGACCCCGUAACUUCGGGAGAAGGGGUGCCCACGGGAGUGGGCCGCAGAGAAUAGGCUCAAGCAACUGUUUAGCAAAAACACAGGUCUAUGCGAAACCGAAAGGUGAAGUAUAUGGGCUGACGCCUGCCCGGUGCUGGAAGGUUAAGAGGAGAGGUUAGCGCAAGCGAAGCUUUGAAUUUAAGCCCCAGUAAACGGCGGCCGUAACUAUAACGGUCCUAAGGUAGCGAAAUUCCUUGUCGGGUAAGUUCCGACCCGCACGAAAGGCGUAAUGAUUUGAGCGCUGUCUCGACAAUGCAUCCGGUGAAAUUGAAGUACCAGUGAAGAUGCUGGUUACCCGCGCCAGGACGGAAAGACCCCAUGGAGCUUUACUCCAGUUUGGUACUGGGAUUCGGUACUGCACGUACAGGAUAGGUGGGAGACUUUGAAACUUGAACGCCAGUUUGAGUGGAGUCGCUGUUGGGAUACCACCCCUGCAGUAUUGGAUUUCUAACCAGUCACCGUGAUCCGGUGAUGGGACAAUGCCAGGCGGGGAGUUUGACUGGGGCGGUCGCCUCCGAAAGGGUAUCGGAGGCGCUCAAAGGUUCCCUCAGAAUGGUCGGAAACCAUUCGAAGAGUGCAAAGGCAGAAGGGAGCUUGACUGCGAUAGAAUAGAUAUCGUGGUGCGGUGGCGGGGAAAUCAGGCUGACACCAGGUGUGGAAUGACGGGUUUUGGCAAUCCACGGAUAUACUUUCUUUGCAGGAAGAUGUCCACCUUCACCAGGUUUUGCACCCUGUGCCAUCUUGAUCUGGAUUUCUCUUGCAGAUACAAGAUAACGGCUGGUUACACCGAAACGUCCACUGGCAACCUGUUUGAUCGCGGAGCAUCUGUCAUCGCUGCUUCCUGCGGAAUCCAGUCUUUCGUCACUUUCACCGCCCUCACCUGUAUUGGAUUUUCCAUGAAGGUGGUUCAUGGCGAUCGCCAGUGUCUCAUGUGCUUCCUGUGAAAUAGAACCAUAGGACAUGGCACCUGUCUUAAAUCGUUUUACAAUGUCCUCAACACUCUCAACCUGGUCGAUCGGAAUAGGCUCCUUGGCAAACUUAA